GACGAACGCUGGCGGCGUGCUUAACACAUGCAAGUCGAGCGGUAAGGCCCUUCGGGUACGACGAGCGGCGAACGGGUGAGUAACACGUGGGUGACCUGCCUCUAGCUCUGGGAGUAAGCCUGGGAAACGUGGGUCUAAUACCGGAUAUGACUCCACGGCGCAUGUUGUGGGGUGGAAAGCCUUGUGUGGCUAGAGAUGGGCCCGCGGCCUAUCAGCUUGUUGGUGGGGUGAUGGCCUACCAAGGCGACGACGGGUAGCCGGCCUGAGA
RNAcentral lists this ribosomal RNA (268 nucleotides) under uncultured bacterium. Its description in RNAcentral is "partial 16S ribosomal RNA". It matches the Rfam family "Bacterial small subunit ribosomal RNA", at positions 28 to 297 of the family's 1533-position model. The record is from RNAcentral.